RNAcentral lists this long non-coding RNA (511 nucleotides) under Vitis vinifera (wine grape). RNAcentral's name for it is "long non-coding RNA (VVIN_LNC003544)". Lineage: Eukaryota; Viridiplantae; Streptophyta; Magnoliopsida; Vitales; Vitaceae. The record is from RNAcentral.
UUUUUUUUUUUUCUUUUUUGAUAAUUGAGCAACCUUUCAUGGCCAAACCCUUAGGAACCUUUCAUGGCCAAACCUUUAGGACUCUCCAUAGGGACCCGAAUCUCAGAGUGCUGACCGCCCUGCAACAACCAGUACCGAGUAAAUUCAGGAUAUCAUCAAUAGCAGGAUUUAAAUCCAGGACCAUGUGCCACUUACUGGGACCACACUUCCCAGUGUUUUCCUUGACCAACUAGGCUACUCUGGCAGGUAUCUUUCUCUACUAACUUUGAAUGACCUUUGCAACCAUUUCAUGUAAAGAAUGCUUUCCUUCAUGGAGAUCUAGAAAAUGAGGUAUACAUGGAUGUUGCUCCUAAUUUCAUACACAAAUCUUAGACAAAUAGAGUGUGGAGACUUAGAAAAUCACUUUAUGGGCUCAAGCAAUCCCCAAGAACCUGGUCUGGAAGAUGCACUAAGUCAAUGAUGAUGAGGGGUUAUCAUCAAACCUAAGGUGAUUACACACUAUUCUUCAAAC